Naegleria gruberi is the source of this 89-nucleotide transfer RNA. It matches the Rfam family "tRNA". From Rfam's summary of the family: Transfer RNA (tRNA) molecules are approximately 80 nucleotides in length. Their secondary structure includes four short double-helical elements and three loops (D, anti-codon, and T loops). The record is from Rfam. NCBI's taxonomy places the organism in Eukaryota, Heterolobosea, Eutetramitea, Acrasida, Naegleriidae.
GGGUGGUUAGCUCAGCGGUAGAGCACCGGAUUGCAAAGUUAAUUGCAGCAGACAUCCGAUGGUCACGUGUUCGAUCCACGUACCACCCU